Molecule: ribosomal RNA, 301 nt
Filed under: uncultured bacterium
Lineage: Bacteria
Description: partial 16S ribosomal RNA
Rfam family: Bacterial small subunit ribosomal RNA
Source: RNAcentral
CAGCCGCCGCGGUAAUACGAAGGGGGCUAGCGUUGUUCGGAUUUACUGGGCGUAAAGCGUGCGUAGGCGGCUUCUUAAGUCGGAUGUGAAAUCCCUGAGCUUAACUUAGGAAUUGCAUUCGAUACUGGGAAGCUAGAGUAUGGGAGAGGAUGGUAGAAUUCCAGGUGUAGCGGUGAAAUGCGUAGAGAUCUGGAGGAAUACCGAUGGCGAAGGCAGCCAUCUGGCCUAAUACUGACGCUGAGGUACGAAAGCAUGGGGAGCAAACAGGAUUAGAUACCCGCGUAGUCCCUGUCUCUUAUAC